Molecule: long non-coding RNA, 3493 nt
Filed under: Sus scrofa (pig)
Lineage: Eukaryota; Metazoa; Chordata; Mammalia; Artiodactyla; Suidae
Description: lncRNA (ENSSSCG00055013501.1)
Source: RNAcentral
AACGAAGGGCUGUCGGAGGUCGUGUGUACACACAGCAGCGUGUUGUUCAGCAUUAAGAAGGAAGGGAAUGCUAACACAUGCCGCACCGUGUGUCUACCUUACAGACGUCCUGCUAAGUAAGGUGCCUAAAAGGAAAAAACAAACAAGAGUCCAAACAAAAUCUAAAAAACCUUGCACUGAGCGGUAACCACAGAGGAGUCACUGGCUGAUUGCAACACUACAGGUGAUCCCGCUCACCCAUCCCCACCCCCACCCCAUCCCCACCCCCAUGCCAGCAACCCAGGAUUAAGCCUUGUCUUUUGUGCUCAGUAACUUCCUGCUUUCGCUUUUGGAGAUGUGUCAGCUCCAGCCCCACACAGCUUAACCUCAGCCUCCCUGCGUGUUUCAGUGCUUCAGGCUCUGCUCCAAGAACCUGGGAGGAGCCUCCUCAACUCUGUCUAUGAUGUUGGGUCAGCGUGUUCGCCAAUUUGGUGAGAAACUGGUCCGAAGGCGGCCACUGGAGCCGAGGAACGAGUCUGAGAUUCCCACACCUCAUCUCAACAGCUUCGACCUAGUGGUCUUUGGUGUGAACAGAACCCUGAGGGCUGGUGUGUACAUCCUAGCUGGUGCCGUGGCUGUGUAUGUAACUGGGCCUGCGAUCAUUAUCUCCUUCUUGGUGGCUGGCUUAUUUGCCCUGUUGUCUGGAUUCUACUUUGCUGAGUUUGGGGCCCGGGUACCCUGCUGUGGUUCUGUGUAUCUCUACAGCUAUGUAACAAUGGGACAACUGCAUGCCUUCAUCACUGGCUGGAACAUCAUACUGCAUUUUGUUCUUGGUGAGAUGACGCAAGUGGCGCAUGCUGUGGGCUUAAGACCAGGGACCUGGGAGAGAGAACUGGGGUCUUCCCUCGUUCAUCAGCCCUUUGUCAUUGACCUUGUAGAGGGAGUCAGGUCGUCGUGGCAGAAUCCCCUCCACCUGCAUUCUCCUCAGAUCUAACCUGUCAUCAUAAAAUCACUGGAAACCUAGAAGGAGGGGGAAGUGUAGGGAGUGGGUGAGAGGGAGGCACGUCCCACAGGCCCAUCCCUCAGCAUUUGAAAGGCUUUGCUCAGCUGUUGUCUUCCUGGAUUUCCCUGUACCAGUCAAGUGAGAUUUCAGCCCUCAUCUCCCAGCCCUGCUGGUCCUACUUCCCUGUGGUCUUUUCUUGCAUAACCUCCAUCUCCUCCUAACAUAUCACAUAGCUAAUUUAGUCACCUGGUUCAGUUCCUCUGAGCCCAUGAAGUGAAAAUUUGAGACAGGGUAUUUUGUCUGUUUCUUCCCCCCCAAAUCCACUCCAGGGAGUUCGUAGGGGUUCAGUUACUGUCCUUUCAUGAAUCUACCUUCUGCCAUUGCAGCCACCGCCUACUUGACCAGGGCCUGGAGCUACACCUUUGACAGCCUGAUUGGGAACCACAUCUCGCAGGUGUUAGAGGGAACGUUCUCUGAGCAUAUGCCCUCGUUCCUGGCCCCAUACCCAGACUUUGUUGCGCUGGCCCUGGUGCUGCUGAUGGCUGGGCUACUGAUUCUGGGCGUUCAUGUGACAGCUCGUGUUACCAAAGUGUCCACAGGUAUCAAUGCUUUGGUUCUCAGCUUCAUCAUCAUCUCUGGCUUCAUUAAGGGAGACCUGCACAACUGGCAGCUCACAGAACAGGACUACAAACUGGCCGCAUCUGGAUCCUCUGACAGCUAUAGCCUGGGCCCUCUGGGUUCUGGAGGGUUUGUGCCCUUUGGCUUUGAAGGGAUUCUCCAAGGAGCAGCAAUGCCUUUCUACUCAUUCUUUGGUCUCAAUGCUAUUGUCACUACAGGGAAAGAAACCCCCAACCCUCAGCGUUCCAUCCCUUGGAGCAUAGGGAUCUUCAUCUCCAUCUGCUUUUUGGCCUAUUCUGGUGUCUCAGCAGCUCUCACCCUCAUGGUGCCCUACUACCAGAUUCAUCCUUACAACCCCUUGCCGCAGGCUUUCCACCAUGUUGGGUGGGCUCCUGCCGGAUACUUCGUGGCUGUUGUCAUCCUGUGUGCUCUUUUUUACAGCCUCCUGGUUGUCAUGUUGACCAUGUCUCGGUUGAUUUGUGCAAUGGCAGAGGAUGGGCUCCUUUUCCGGGGACUUGGCAAAAUCUACGCCCGAAGAGGCACCCCCAUCGUGGCCAUCCUGGUUUCUGCAAUUCUUUCAGGUCCAUAAACACAACCCAGCCCUUCUUGGAUCAAAAUCUUUAGCUUGGAUAUAUCCACUGGCUUCUCACUCCCUCCCCCAACCCUCGUUCUAGGGAUCAUGGCAGUACUUUUCGAGAUCCAUCAUCUUGUGGAACUCCUGUCAGUUGGGGUCUUGCUUGCUUACUUCCUAGUGGCUUUUUCUGUCCUGGUCCUCAGGUACCAGCCAGACCAGAGCUUCAGCAAGAAGGAGAAAGUAGAGGAGGAAACUGAGAUGGAGCCUAUAGUUGAAGGAAAUCCUUCACCAUCUGUACCUGAAGCAGGAACCUCAAACCCUCUAAAGAGUCUGUGUAACCCUAUCAGCACCACCCCGACUCUGAAAUCUGGCCAGAUUGUCUAUGGAUGUGCCUUCCUGCUGGUUCUCCUGCUGACCAUCCUGAGCCUGCUUCUGGCCCUGUGGCCCAGCCGCGUGUUUUCUGGAGACCCCGGGUUCACAGCAGGGGCUGUGCUGCUGCUGCUGCUCAUUAUGUGGAUCACUGUCAUCAUUUGGAGGCAGCCCCAGAACCCCUCUCCUCUUCACUUUAGGGUACUUUCUUUGCCUGUCUUCCCACUGAUCAGCAUCUUUGUGAACAUUUACUUGAUAAUACAGAUGACUACUGGGACUUGGGCCCAAUUUGGCAUCUGGAAUGCUGUUGGAUUUGCCAUAUACUUUGGAUAUGGGAUCCGACACAGCUUGGAGGAGAAGAGUGAUCAAAACCCACCAGCUUCCAACUUCCAUACUUUUGAUGAACACACCUCUAGUGCUAAAUCCUGUUAACUCCAGCAAAUAGAUGCUGUGUGGUCCUCUCCAAAAGGGGAAAUGUAUUCUGGUUCAAGGGACUUUUUGAGCCUCUAUGGAGUGUGACAUUGGGAUGCAUGUAGAGCCUUCUAUUUAUUGCCACUGGACAGGAUGACUUUUAUGUAUAAUUUAAAGUAAACUUUUAAAAGUAUAACAUGCCUACAGAAAUGUGUAUGCUUCAUAAGUGUGCUCGCAAGAUGAAUUUUCACAAUUAAGUACUACAAUGUAACCAACAACAGAGGAAGAAAUGAACUGUUACCUUGCACAUAAGAAGCACUUCUUGGAGUCCCCGUCGUGGCUCAGCCAAAAUGACUCUGACUAGUAUCCAUGAGGACGCAGGUUCGAUCCCUGGUCUCACUCACUGGGUUAAGGAUUGGCUUUGGCUGUGGUGUAGGCUGGCAGCUGCGGCUCUGAUUUAACCUACAGUGUGGGAACUUCCACAUGCCAUGGGUGAGGCGCUAAAAAGCAAAGCAAAAAAAAAAAAAAAAAAAAAAAAA